RNAcentral lists this ribosomal RNA (995 nucleotides) under uncultured bacterium. RNAcentral describes it as "bacterial SSU rRNA". It matches the Rfam family "Bacterial small subunit ribosomal RNA", at positions 356 to 1376 of the family's 1533-position model. The record is from RNAcentral.
GGGGAAUAUUGCACAAUGGGGGAAACCCUGAUGCAGCGACGCCGCGUGGAGGAAGAAGGUCUUCGGAUUGUAAACUCCUGUUGUUGAGGAAGAUAAUGACGGUACUCAACAAGGAAGUGACGGCUAACUACGUGCCAGCAGCCGCGGUAAAACGUAGGUCACAAGCGUUGUCCGGAAUUACUGGGUGUAAAGGGAGCGCAGGCGGGAGAACAAGUUGGAAGUGAAAUCCAUGGGCUCAACCCAUGAACUGCUUUCAAAACUGUUUUUCUUGAGUAGUGCAGAGGUAGGCGGAAUUCCCGGUGUAGCGGUGGAAUGCGUAGAUAUCGGGAGGAACACCAGUGGCGAAGGCGGCCUACUGGGCACCAACUGACGCUGAGGCUCGAAAGUGUGGGUAGCAAACAGGAUUAGAUACCCUGGUAGUCCACACCGUAAACGAUGAUUACUAGGUGUUGGGGGAUUGACCCCUUCAGUGCCGCAGUUAACACAAUAAGUAAUCCACCUGGGGAGUACGACCGCAAGGUUGAAACUCAAAGGAAUUGACGGGGGCCCGCACAAGCAGUGGAGUAUGUGGUUUAAUUCGACGCAACGCGAAGAACCUUACCAAGUCUUGACAUCCUGCGACGGAUAUAGAAAUAUGUCUUUCCUUCGGGACGCAGAGACAGGUGGUGCAUGGUUGUCGUCAGCUCGUGUCGUGAGAUGUUGGGUUAAGUCCCGCAACGAGCGCAACCCUUAUGGUCAGUUGAUACGCAAGAUCACUCUAGCCGGACUGCCGUUGACAAAACGGAGGAAGGUGGGGACGACGUCAAAUCAUCAUGCCCCUUAUGGCCUGGGCUACACACGUACUACAAUGGCAGUCAUACAGAGGGAAGCAAAAUCGCGAGGUGGAGCAAAUCCCUAAAAGCUGUCCCAGUUCAGAUUGCAGGCUGCAACCCGCCUGCAUGAAGUCGGAAUUGCUAGUAAUCGCGGAUCAGCAUGCCGCGGUGAAUACGUUCCCG